This is a long non-coding RNA of Epinephelus moara (kelp grouper), 433 nucleotides long. RefSeq lists it as uncharacterized. The transcript is spliced from 2 exons. The record is from RefSeq and is a predicted model, not a curated record. NCBI's taxonomy places the organism in Eukaryota, Metazoa, Chordata, Actinopteri, Perciformes, Serranidae.
AUUAUGUAAAUAAAUUUGUUUGACCAGAAUCUCAGUGAUAUAAAAGAGAAUAAUCAGUGAUUUCCUGAUUGAUUAUGAUCAUGAUAUCUAGUUUUAGAACACAUAACAGAAACAGAACCUCAUUUGUACAUCUACAAUAAAUGAUGAUUGCUCUUGUAAGACACAUGAAGUGAAGGAGAAACAGAGAAAUAUCAGUUGAGGUAAACAAACAUCAUCAUGAGCAGUGACAGCCUCCAUGGUUAAACAGACACAGGAAGGAGCGCCACCUAAAGAAACUCAAACAUUUACAGCACAACUAAUGAGAAGAUGUCAAAGUACCACCCAUAGUGUUUGACUGACAGCGGAUCUCUGUGCAGUGAAGACAUGAAAAGAAAAAUCAGCUCUCAGCAACAAUGAUGGAGAAAAAAAUACAUUUCAGAUCAAAAACAUAGAA